Molecule: ribosomal RNA, 468 nt
Filed under: uncultured bacterium
Lineage: Bacteria
Description: partial 16S ribosomal RNA
Rfam family: Bacterial small subunit ribosomal RNA
Source: RNAcentral
GACGAACGCUGGCGGCGUGCUUAACACAUGCAAGUCGAACGGAAAGGCCCUGCUUUUGUGGGGUGCUCGAGUGGCGAACGGGUGAGUAACACGUGAGUAACCUGCCCUUGACUUUGGGAUAACUUCAGGAAACUGGGGCUAAUACCGGAUAGGAGCUCCUGCUGCAUGGUGGGGGUUGGAAAGUUUCGGCGGUUGGGGAUGGACUCGCGGCUUAUCAGCUGGUUGGUGGGGUAGUGGCUUACCAAGGCUUUGACGGGUAGCCGGCCUGAGAGGGUGACCGGCGACAUUGGGACUGAGAUACGGCCCAGACUGCUAUGGGAGGCAGCAGUGGGGAAUAUUGCACAAUGGGCGGAAGUCUGAUGCAGCAGCGCCGCGUGCGGGAUGAUGGCUUUCGGGUUGUAAACCGCUUUCGCCGGUGACGAAGCGUGAGUGACGGUAAUGGGUAAAGAAGCACCGGCUAACUACGUG